AAGAACUGUAAUGCCAUUAGUUUGGUGUUGCAGGGAAACAGGACUAUUACUUUGAAAAAAUUAGAGNGUUUAAAGCAGGCUAACGCUUGAAUACAUUAGCAUGGAAUAAUGAAAUAGGACGUUUGAUCCUAUUUUGUUGGUUUCUAGGGUCGACGUAAUGAUUAAUAGGGAUAGUUGGGGGGCAUUAGUAUUCAAUUGUCAGAGGUGAAAUUCUUGGAUUUAUUGAAGACUAACUACUGCGAAAAGCAUUUUGCCAAGGAUGUUUUCAUUAAUCAAGAACGAAAGUUAGGGGAUCGAAGACGAUCAGAUACCGUCGUAGUCUUAACCAUAAACUAUGCCGACUAGGGAUCGGAUGAUGUUAAUUUUUAAUGACUCAUUCGGCGCCUUACA
This 390-nucleotide ribosomal RNA is filed under the name uncultured Glomus. Its description in RNAcentral is "SSU rRNA". It matches the Rfam family "Eukaryotic small subunit ribosomal RNA", at positions 706 to 1092 of the family's 1831-position model. Lineage: Eukaryota; Fungi; Glomeromycota; Glomeromycetes; Glomerales; Glomeraceae. The record is from RNAcentral.